This 382-nucleotide long non-coding RNA is filed under the name Fukomys damarensis (Damara mole-rat). RNAcentral describes it as "lncRNA (ENSFDAG00000026173.1)". Lineage: Eukaryota; Metazoa; Chordata; Mammalia; Rodentia; Bathyergidae. The record is from RNAcentral.
GAAACACCCAAGUGGUGAUACCAGUAAGUCAGCAAGUGAGCUAACCAGGGAGGAUUCCCCGGGGCAGGCAUGACUGUUUUGGAACCCGGAAGAAUGUUGAAGAAUGUUGACGUCCCCAGCUGGUCCUGUGUCUUUCCUGUGGCUUUCUGCAGUGGAGCGGCUGCUCCAGUCUAAGUUCUGCAAGUCUAAAGAUCAGGAGAGCCGAGCAGCACUUCAUUGGCACUGACAAAGGGCGGAGCCUGACUUUGCUCAGCUGGCAGUCCUGCAUUUUGGCAAUGCAUUCUUGGAUUAAGAACUCAGCCUCCAUUAUUAAGAUCCAGAGAAUCCAGCUAAGGUCAGUCAUUCUUCCCCUUCUCCCUCUGAAGAGCAUUUAGCCAGUCUC